RNAcentral lists this ribosomal RNA (253 nucleotides) under uncultured bacterium. RNAcentral describes it as "partial 16S ribosomal RNA". It matches the Rfam family "Bacterial small subunit ribosomal RNA", at positions 524 to 776 of the family's 1533-position model. The record is from RNAcentral.
UACGGAGGGUGCAAGCGUUAUCCGGAUUUAUUGGGUUUAAAGGGUGCGUAGGCGGUAUUUUAAGUCAGUGGUGAAAUCCUGCAGCUCAACUGUAGUACUGCCAUUGAAACUGAAGUACUUGAGUAAUCUUGAGGUAGGCGGAAUGUGUAGUGUAGCGGUGAAAUGCUUAGAUAUUACACAGAACACCGAUUGCGAAGGCAGCUUACUAAGGAUUUACUGACGCUGAUGCACGAAAGUGUGGGGAUCAAACAGG